CCGAGUAGCUGGAACUACAGGCGCCCGCCAUGAUGCCCGGCUCAUUUUCUGUGUUUUCAGUAGAGACGGGGUUUCACUGUGUUAGCCAGGAAAGUCUUGAUCUCCUGACCUCGUGAUCCUGACCUCGGCCUCCCAAAGUGCUGGGAUUACAGGCGCGAGCCACCGCGCCCGACAGCAGUUAUGAAGUUCUAAAAGCAAGUCUUAAUCAGGAAGUGUCCUUGAUCACCAACGGCUCGCCCAGGCAUGCUGGCUCUCUUCCACUUCCACCUUCCACCAUGGGAUGACGCAGUAAGAAGGCCAUCAGUAGAUGCCAGUCCCUCAACCUUGAACUUUCCAGACGCAGAACUUUAUGCCUCCAUUUUCCUCUGCUGCAUGGCCCCAGGAGAGAUUUUAAUUAGCUUUCUAACCUUGGUCCAGAUUGCACAUGCAAAUGGUAGAGGAUGCAACACCCCCGCUUGUGGAGCUGCCGCUUGUGUCUGGCAUGGAUGCCCCUUCUAGAUGUUCAUGGCUCACUCCCUGCCAUGUUGUCAGGUAUUUGAGCUCUCUGUUCCCACUCAGAGUAGAUGAGCAGAAGAGGAAAUGAGGGCCUUCCCAGAGCAACUCCCCCAGAUGAACAGAGCCAGGCUGCCUGGAUUCAAUGUUAUCUUCAUUUCUUAGCUGUAUCAUCACGAGUUGUUUAAUUCCUCAGCACUUAAUUUUCUUGACCUGCAAAAAUAUGGAUCAUAAUGAUCAUUAACUAAUAAGUUUGCCAUGAGGAUUAACUGUAUAUUAAGGGCUGAUAAAAUUAUAUGUUACAAAAAAAUUCACAAGAAGAGAGGAAAUACUGAGGAGAAAAUGGCAGAUUGUGUUUGCUGAAUUUGAUUGACGAAGAAGUCACCAUGAAAAUCACAGUGAACCAUUUGGAAAGCAAACUGCCAAAAAAUAAUAGUUAGUCAUGCUCUCAGGCUGGUUGUUUUGGCUGUUGUGGGUUUCUUGCAUUUCCAGAUGAUUGCAAAGAGCUGUUUCUCAAUUUCUGCAACAAGUGCCAGCUGAAAUUUUGGUACCAGUUUCAUUAAAUAUGUAGAACAAUUUGAGCCUGAGUGAGUUCUGUGGAGCCCAUACUACCUGCGAUUCAAGCCAGCAACCUUGGAAUCUCCCUGAACAAUUUCUAUGGUGUCCAAUCACAUUUGCAAUCACUCCCCACACUCAGACUGUGUAUUUUUGGCUGCUCUCCAAGCCCUUGAGGAAAACACUUGGAGUCAAUCUCAUCCUUUUGAUGCAGUGCUGAGUAAUGAGGUAUUUCCCUGUCUAAAGAUUUUAGAAGAUGGAAAAAAGAAAAAUACAUUGCACUCUGAAACAUUCUACAUAAAAAUGGAAUGUGUGGUCAUUAGAUUAACUCAGGCUUUGGACCUCGGGGCAUAAAACCCAUUUCCUCUUACACCAGUCUCUGAAGCUUAAAGGAUUCGUUAUUUCCAGUUGCAAAUGCCAUCAGAAAAGGAUUGUUUUUCUUUCUAGUACCACCAAGAAUGUAGUUUACCAUUGUGAAUAAACUGUCUUAAGCUUUCCCCGAAUAAAAUAAAUACAAAUGCUCCUC
RNAcentral lists this long non-coding RNA (1573 nucleotides) under Homo sapiens (human). Its description in RNAcentral is "non-protein coding lnc-NETO1-1:4". Lineage: Eukaryota; Metazoa; Chordata; Mammalia; Primates; Hominidae. The record is from RNAcentral.